GACGAACGCUGGCGGCGUGCUUAACACAUGCAAGUCGAACGGAAAGGCCUCUUUCUGGGGGUACUCGAGUGGCGAACGGGUGAGUAACACGUGAGUAAGCUGCCCUGGACUUUGGGAUAACUUCAGGAAACUUGGGCUAAUACCGGAUAGGGGCUCCUGCUGCAUGGUGGGGGUUGGAAAGUUUCGGCGGUUGGGGGUGGACUCGUGGCUUAUGAGCUGGUUGGUGGGGUAGUGGCUUACCAAGGCUUUGACGGGUAGGCGGCCUGAGAGAGUGACCGGCCACACUGGGACUGAGAUACGGCCCCGACUCCUACGGGAGGCCGCAGUGGGGAAUAUUGCACCAUGGGUGGAGGCCUGAUGCAGCAACGCCGUGUGCGGGAUGACGGCCUUCGGGUUGUAAACCGCUUUCGCUCAUGACGAAGCUUUGUGUGACGGUAGUGGGUAAAGAAGCACCGGCUAACUACGUG
Molecule: ribosomal RNA, 467 nt
Filed under: uncultured bacterium
Lineage: Bacteria
Description: partial 16S ribosomal RNA
Rfam family: Bacterial small subunit ribosomal RNA
Source: RNAcentral